AGCAGCGGUAACCCUCUCAGGUCUGCAGUUUCAGUCCUGAGGCCAGCGGGACCAGGAACUCACCGGAAGGAACGAACAACUCCAGAUGUGCCACCUUUAAGAGCUGUAACACUCACCGUUAAGGCCUGCAGCUUCACUCCUGAAGUCAGCGAGACCAUGAGCCCACCAGAAAGAAGAAACCCAGGACACAUCUGAAAAUAUGAAGGAACAGACUCCAGACACACUAUCUUUAAGAACUGUAACACUCACUGCGAAGGUCCGCGGCAUCAUUCUUGAAUUCAGCGAGACCAAGAACCCACCAAUUCUGGACACAAUCACAAAAUUAAACCUCCUCAAAUAGAGAUUGACAGUAAAUGUAAUCUGUAUUUCUGU
This 372-nucleotide long non-coding RNA is filed under the name Homo sapiens (human). RNAcentral describes it as "non-protein coding lnc-CCDC74A-13:1". Lineage: Eukaryota; Metazoa; Chordata; Mammalia; Primates; Hominidae. The record is from RNAcentral.